GAUGAAGAACGUAGCGAAAUGCGAUAAGUAAUUUGAAUUGCAGAAUUCAGUGAAUCAUCGAAUCUUUGAACGCACAUUGCGCCCGCCAGUAUUCUGGCGGGCAUGCCUGUCCGAGCGUCAUUUCAACCCUCAAGCCCCCGGGCUUGGUGUUGGAGAUCGGCGAGCCCCCCGGGGCGCGCCGUCUCCCAAAUAUAGUGGCGGUCCCGCUGUAGCUUCCUCUGCGUAGUAGCACACCUCGCACUGGGAAACAGCGUGGCCACGCCGUAAAACCCCCCACUUCUGAAAGGUUGACCUCGGAUCAGGUAGGAAUACCCGCUGAACUUAAGCAUAUCAAUAAGCGGAGGA
Molecule: unclassified non-coding RNA, 345 nt
Filed under: soil metagenome
Description: partial contains 5.8S ribosomal RNA, internal transcribed spacer 2, and large subunit ribosomal RNA
Rfam family: 5.8S ribosomal RNA (bases 1-120)
Source: RNAcentral